This 483-nucleotide ribosomal RNA is filed under the name uncultured bacterium. Its description in RNAcentral is "partial 16S ribosomal RNA". It matches the Rfam family "Bacterial small subunit ribosomal RNA", at positions 30 to 507 of the family's 1533-position model. The record is from RNAcentral.
UUGAACGCUGGCGGCAGGCCUAACACAUGCAAGUCGAGCGGAUGAAGGGAGCUUGCUCCUGGAUUCAGCGGCGGACGGGUGAGUAAUGCCUAGGAAUCUGCCUGGUAGUGGGGGAUAACGUCCGGAAACGGGCGCUAAUACCGCAUACGUCCUGAGGGAGAAAGUGGGGGAUCUUCGGACCUCACGCUAUCAGAUGAGCCUAGGUCGGAUUAGCUAGUUGGUGGGGUAAAGGCCUACCAAGGCGACGAUCCGUAACUGGUCUGAGAGGAUGAUCAGUCACACUGGAACUGAGACACGGUCCAGACUCCUACGGGAGGCAGCAGUGGGGAAUAUUGGACAAUAGGCGAAAGCCUGAUCCAGCCAUGCCGCGUGUGUGAAGAAGGUCUUCGGAUUGUAAAGCACUUUAAGUUGGGAGGAAGGGCAGUAAGUUAAUACCUUGCUGUUUUGACGUUACCAACAGAAUAAGCACCGGCUAACUUCGUG